AGAGUAUUCAAGGAAGCCCAAGACUGCAUGGAAGAUGUCAAUUUGCCUGGAAAAUACUGAGUCUUUGCCACCAUUCUCAGGGAGAAGAAAUACUAGGUUUUAGAGCAGCAUUCUUUGGAACUAAGCACCAAACAGGUUUAGUUGUGCUAAGAAGAGAUUAGAUGAAAUUUCUUGAUGGUCUGAAUUGGACCUUGCUGUUAAAGUCAAGAGCCAGGAAAGCUUAUAUUUGCAAGAAAUGCCAUAACAUCAAAGGAGUUGAUUUGAUAACAGAUGGAAAAACUGAAAAACUGCCUCCGCUUCAUUAAAGCCCCUCACAAGACUCUUAUAUAAGGGGCUGUGCAGAGAUCACUAAAGCUCAUCACACAGUCAGCCACCCGAUGACACCUGGUCACUUCCUAACAGGUACUGACUUUGAACUAGCAAGCGAUUAAAUAUAAAAAUCCUACAAAAUUUAAGUUACGUGGUCUCCAGCAACGUCACUACAGGUAUCUGUUUUCUGUUCUUAACCUUGCUGAGUUCAGUAGUGUGGAAUUAUCACACGGGAGCAGCUUCUUAGUUCCAUAUUAUUGGGAAAAAGUGCUUUGUCACAUAUCCAGGAUAUCGUUUUGUGAAUUCCCCGUGCUGUGCAGACUGGAUCACCCUCGCUAACUGCCUGGAUUAUGCAGCUGUCUGAAGCAGGGAAGCCUCCUGAGCAGAGACAGUGAAAACUUGAAAAUCAUGCAGUUGGAGGAAUAUACUAAACUUAAAAUUUCACAUCUUUAGCAAAAACUUUAACUGCUAGAUUAUUGCAUAAGGGGAACUGUUUUUCACUACUAAUAUCCCGUUUUCAUUUGAGCACAGUUCUGAACACAGCUUCUAUUCAGUAUGUAGUUGGCAUGCUCAAGUACUUUUAAAGGACUGAGCCUGUUAGCAACGAAAAAUUCUGGGCAUUAACAAGACUGAUACAAGGUAGUUACCAACAAUACUAAGGUAGCUCUGGACACAGGCAGGUACAAUACUGUAGGCGCUGGGAAAUUUUAAUAUGCAUCUUAAAAAAUGACAUCUGCAGGGCUCAUGUUUUGCUAAUCAUAAGUUUGAACUCCCAUGGCUACAUCCUUUUUUGACUCUGGCUUCCGAAGUGAGGAUGCCGGGACUGAGUGCUAAAUUCCCAUGAUGCAGGAGGGAUGGGAGUGUCCACCCUGCUGUCUUUGUGCUGACUGAUGCAUCUCAUAUGCAUGCUGCACCUUUUGAAGAAUCAUAGCUUUGGGUAUCUCCUCCUCUAGUCCAGCUUGGUUUGCGAAACUAUAUCCAUGGAGUGUAAAUUCUUCCCACAGGUUGUUAUUGUUAACUUGGUGUUUUUAGGGCAUCUAGAGGGCUCAACAGAAAUCAGAAGCCUGUUGUGCUAGUUACUGCAACACAUGCAUUGUAAGGGAGUGCCAAAAAAUGCAAGUAACCUGAGAAAAGUUAUUUUCCCAUUUUGAAAAUGAUGUACCAAGAUUUAAUGUCCUGCGAUUCCACAUGGAGUAAAAUUCACAGAAAAUGAGGGAGGAGGGCUGAGGCAUACCCAAACAAUCUGGUUUAAUGAGCUAACAGAAUGUGCUGUUUGUGCCCCAUUGCAAAUGUUCAUUUGGUAAGCUAUAUGGAUAUGGCCCUUCUUCAUACUAGUGGUGUGCUGUAGAUGCUAGCUGAAACCCCAGAGAGGUUUCUUCAGAGCUAACAUAUGCAGGCAAGUAGGGCACACAAAUAAUGACUUUAGUCAGAACUGCUAACAAAUGUUUGCUUGAUAAUCUGCAUUAAUUCAGUUACUUGCAAUCAUCUGUCCAAAUCUCAGCUUUUUUUUUCCCUCUCUGCUUUCUAGUAAAUUCAUAGCAUGUGUGUAUUUCUGAUUAAGUGAGAUCUUGAAAGUCCAAUAUGUGGACAGUUCUGCAUGAAAGCUAAUGAUCACCUAAUCAGAACAAAGGCUUACCCUGUUGUCCUAGCCCAGAUAUCCUUUGAAGAUAGUAAAUGUGCUGUUUUAGGAGUUGCUAUAGCUGAUGAUCAAACCUGUGAAGAUAAAUUUGUGUUUUGGAGUUGAAGACACCAUACAAUUGCUACAGAAUUUCAAACUUGUGAUUUGCCUUUGGUUCAUGUCACACUGACACCUAGAAGAUAAAAUGAGCUUUUCUUAGUGGACCAGGUUCUCCAAAAGAUGUUUUCUUUAGAAAAGUGAAGGCACUUUUGCAGUAUUGAUUUCCUGCUGCAUAGACAUAACUAACAUUUCAGGAGAUCUAUACCAGUUUAAAAUUUACAUUAGCUCUUUUAAUGAAAUCACUAGCACCUUUGGGACUUCUUGGUAGGAUAAACACUGAACUCAUAGCAGCUGAACACUAAAUUUCAACAUCACUUAAGCAAAAUUCAGAUAGUAGUUGAUCUACUACUUCCCCUUCCCCCAGCACAACAACAACAAAAACAAGAGCAAUUGACUCAAUCUGGUAUUGGUUGAGUUAUUAUAGCAUAGUUAGGUUGUUCUUGGUUUUUCCCGACACGUGCUUUACCAAAAAAACUUGAGUUAAAAUCAGUUCUGCCGCAUGCGGGACACACUGCCAAGAAGUGCUAAGACGUACUGUCACUAGCUUUCUUGCAAAACUCCACACUGUAAGCAAUGGGGAGAUCCAUGCUAAAAAAAGAAAGAGGAAUUACACAAUGUGGCCGAUAUUAUGUUGUUUUGUUUUUAGAGUAGAGAUCGGAGGCUGCUGUGAAGACAAGCCCUUUUGCAUUUAGUGCUGUGGCAAUUUCACAAUUGUCUUUGUCCUGAAAAAUAAUUUUCUGAAGUGGGUCUGCAUGGGUCUCGGGCUGGAUCCCAUUAAAAUCAGUGGUAGCUGGGGCAGUGGCCCUACAAGACGGGGCUGGACUAUACUGAAGGUCUCUUAACUGCUUGCCCAUGUCCUUUUAUGCUGUAGACAUGACCUCCAUUCCAACAGAGGUUGUAGGUGCCCAGGCUUUUGUAGGGGGUUCUCCUUAUACAUUUUCCUGAAGUCUGUUAUCAAAUUAGAAUACUCUAAAGUUUUUCAUUUAGCUUAUGCCUGGACAAAUCAUAGCAAUGGCCUGCACCAUCUCCACCUGUCAAUUGAUCUGGAGUAAUGAACAGUGCAAGAAUCCAAAGUGACAACUAGAAUAGGGUUAUUGGGAUGAAAUUUCAAAGUGAAAUCUGCAGCAGAAUUUCUGAUGCAUGUGAAGUCAUAGGCAACCUGAACCGACUAGAUCUUUCUGUAUUUCAAUAGGGAAAUGCAGGUAAUGCUUCAAGUGUGUUUUUAGAGGGCAAAGGUGGGCAGGAUGAGGGAUUCUGCUGCAGUUGAAACAAGAAGCUGUUAAUCUGUUGGUGUAUUUCUGUGCAUGUUUUGAUUUGUGUGUGUGGAUGCUGAGUAGAUCAGCCAGGAAACUAAGAAAAUAAGAUGUAUUCAGGUUGGUUGCGCAGACCAAAAUGCCUGUCCUGUCUUGUAUUUGUCUCUGGGAAAUUGAAAGACUCAGUAGGAAUAGGUUUUUGCCUUUUGUUAUUUAAAAACAAUAAUCCGUCUUCCUGCUUUUUUGAAGGGAUAUUCUUUCUGAAUUUUCCAAAUAAAAAGCCAGUCAGAUAUUUUACACUGUUUCACGCUUUCACGACACCAUGAUGGUCCUGACCAUUUUCUCAAUGUAAAUCUAGCAGUGCUGAGGUUUGCUGCUGCUCCUCAAGUAUCGACAUAAUUACAUAAGAGUGUGCCAGCAGCAAGUGCCUGUGCUGGUGGAUCAUGUGCAGCACACACAUUGCUGGCUGUCCGCAGCGCACUGAAAGCAGAGAUUUAUUGCAUUUACAAAGGGCCAUUACAAUGCAAUUUUAACUUACUGUCAUUAAAGGGUCUUACAUCAUAAGCAAUCACUGUAAAAAGCCUUAGACUCAGACUUAUUCUUCAUUUUUAUAGCGUGAUUUAUUAGAGCCCCCAUUAUAUCUUAUAAAUCAUAUCUGAAAGAAAUAAAAAUCAAUUAGGGCCUGGUCCUUUCACCUUUACCCGUGUUGGGCAGUGUCUUGUGCUCAGCCUGGAGGAAACGGGGACGUUCCUGGAGUAAGGGAUCGCUAGCAGAGGAGGAGUGAAGACAGCAAAGUCUGGGUCCUUACUGAGCACAGGAGAGAGAUGUAAAAAUUUUUUGGGAAAUAUUCUGCAGGGAGGGGGUGGUUCUCCAUAGAUUUCUCUGAUUUCAUCUGAUCCUAACACCGUGCCUCCCGAGUACUGUUUGAAGUGAAUCACGUAUUUAUGUAAUGCAACAUUCAGCAGAGAAAGCCAAGUCAGCCUUCUAAUGCUGUUCUUUCCUCGGAUCAAAUUCAGCAUGUAGUAACUAAGCUAAUUGAAAUACAGUUGCAAAGAUCUCAAAAUGGCUGUUCUGUUAGUGUGAUCCCACAAGAAUGCACUGCAUUUCAUAAAAUCAAGCCUAUAUAAAAUGGAAACUCAGCUUUGCUAUCUGUAUUUGCAUGAGAAAGGCUUACUUAAAUGAUUAUCAAUUAGGGCUCAAUUUUUCAAUCUGAAUACCCCUGCUUGCCCUUUUUAUUAUGAAAUACAGCACUUGGAUAUGAUUUGAUUGAACAUUAAUUGAAGUCAUGUGGUUUGAAUGGGGAUGUAUUCUGUAGUCCUUUGCAGUGAAAAAUGCCACUAAGAUCAUGAAGAGCUCUGCCAGCAUUAGAGCUCUGUGUUUUGAUGCAGUGUGCUCAGGUCUUUGGUUAUGAAAAUAUAUGUAUUUGAAUAUGUAUGUUCCUAAUAAGUUGCUAAGAUCUAUUGCACCUCAGUGCUUUGGAACAGAAACAUGCAAUGUAUAUAUUAAAAAAAAAGCCCUACACGGCAAUUAAUCUGUUAUCCUGAACCGUACCACAGGAAAAUUCAUUUCUAUCCUUGAAGUUGCUGGUAAUUUUGGCAGGGAAUUUCAGUAACAGUAAGGCUGGACCCUCUGUUGCUGGUUUGCUUCCAUCUCUCCUUAUCUUAAAAGAAAGGCAAUAUGUAUAGACUAUACUAAGGUAGUACCAUAAAUAUAUACAGAGCAGUCUUGUAUUUUUAAAAAUAAGAAAGAUGAGUACCAGUAAAUACUGGACUGUACAAAAGAAGGAAAAACAAAUUGGAAAAAUAAUUUUCCUAGGUACAGUCUAAUAUAUCCCAUUUUUGAUCAGUUCUAAAAUAAAAAUAUAAUGGAUCAUUGUAUCCUUUGUCUCAUGAUGCACCAACACAGAACACCAGUAUUUUUUUGCCUUUUAUUUUUUCCCCUAACCAGAACCAAAAUAGCAAAUGUCAGGGAAAGGGCAAAGAAAAUAACUGAAGGCAUAUAGGGAUGGAUUUAAAGAGAGAAGAGACCAAAUAUUGUUCUGAAACCAGUCGCUAAAUUCAUACUGAUUUCAGUGGCACCAAGGUUACAUUUUUAGAAGUAUUUUGGGAUGGUUUAAUUUUGAAGCCCUUCCUCAUAUGGAAAUCCCACUCAGCGUCGUAGGAGGUGCUGGUGAUAGGAAGGCAUAUAUAUGUGUAUGCAUAUGAUGGUAUGAUCCAUACAAUCACAGCCUUGGCUAAAUCAA
Long non-coding RNA from Cygnus olor (mute swan), 5542 nucleotides. RefSeq lists it as uncharacterized. The record is from RefSeq and is a predicted model, not a curated record. NCBI's taxonomy places the organism in Eukaryota, Metazoa, Chordata, Aves, Anseriformes, Anatidae. The transcript has 4 exons.